UACAGAGGUCUCAAGCGUUGUUCGGAUUCAUUGGGCGUAAAGGGUGUGUAGGUGGCGCGCUAAGUCGGGUGUGAAAUUUCGGAGCUUAACUCCGAAACUGCAUUCGAUACUGGCGUGCUUGAGGACUGGAGAGGAGACUGGAAUUCAUGGUGUAGCGGUGAAAUGCGCAGAUAUCAGGAGGAACACCGGUGGCGAAGGCGGGUCUCUGGGCAUUAACUGACGCUGAGGAGCGAAAGCAUGGGGAGCGAACAGG
Molecule: ribosomal RNA, 253 nt
Filed under: uncultured bacterium
Lineage: Bacteria
Description: partial 16S ribosomal RNA
Rfam family: Bacterial small subunit ribosomal RNA
Source: RNAcentral